Dictyostelium discoideum AX4 is the source of this 46-nucleotide regulatory RNA element. It matches the Rfam family "Histone 3' UTR stem-loop". Rfam says of the family: The mRNAs of metazoan histone genes lack a poly-A tail. 3' end processing occurs at a site between a highly conserved stem-loop (modelled by this family) and a purine rich region around 20 nts downstream (the histone downstream element, or HDE). The stem-loop is bound by a 31 kDa stem-loop binding protein (SLBP - also termed the histone hairpin binding protein, or HBP). Lineage: Eukaryota; Evosea; Eumycetozoa; Dictyosteliales; Dictyosteliaceae. The record is from Rfam.
CAAAAGGUUUUUUUCAAAACCACCACAAAAAAACAAAUUUAAAUUU